Molecule: long non-coding RNA, 222 nt
Filed under: Nicotiana benthamiana
Lineage: Eukaryota; Viridiplantae; Streptophyta; Magnoliopsida; Solanales; Solanaceae
Description: long non-coding RNA (NBEN_LNC020877)
Source: RNAcentral
CUGAAGCUACUUGAAUGCUCAUAAACAAGCAAGGAAUUGGCUUCAGGAUCGAACAUCAAUUGCAACAAUUUGAUAAAAAGAGAUUUCCAUCGCUUCUGUCAUGCAUUUCCAGUUACUGAAGAGGUUUUACUGUAUCAUAUGUUGCCUGAAACUUGGUGAUUUCUCAGAAACUUGGUGUAAAUUCAACAUGGGGGAAGAAAAGAUUUAUUUUAACUCAGGUUU